UUGCAGUUAAAAAGCUCGUAGUUGAAUUUCUGGUACAACGCACCUGGCCCGCAGCCAUUAGGCUUGUGUGCGCUGGAGUGCGUUUACCAUCCUUCUAGAAAACGGGUCUGCCAUUAACUUGGUGGGUUCGCGAUCUAGAUCAUUUACUUUGAAAAAAUUAGAGUGUUUAAAGCAAGCAAUUGCUAUGAAUACAUUAGCAUGGAAUAAUAAUCUAGGACUUCGGUUCUAUUUUGUUGGUUUCUAAAACUGAAGUAAUGAUUGAUAGGGACAGUUGGGGGUGCUAGUAUUGGCCGGCCAGAGGUGAAAUUCUUGGAUUCGGUCAAGACUAACUUAUGCGAAAGCAUUCACCAAGGAUGUCUUCUUUAAUCAAGAACGAAAGUUGGGGGAUCGAAGACGAUCAGAUACCGUCGUAGUCUCAACCAUAAACUAUGCCAACUAGGGAUGGGUGAACGUUGCUUUUUCGACUUCAUCCGCACCUUAUGAGAAAUCAAAGUCUUUGGGUUCCGGGGGGAGUAUGGUCGCAAGGCUGAAACUUAAAGGAAUUGACGGAAGGGCACCACCA
Molecule: ribosomal RNA, 562 nt
Filed under: Blepharisma japonicum
Lineage: Eukaryota; Ciliophora; Heterotrichea; Heterotrichida; Blepharismidae
Description: partial Eukaryotic small subunit ribosomal RNA
Rfam family: Eukaryotic small subunit ribosomal RNA
Source: RNAcentral